Molecule: ribosomal RNA, 440 nt
Filed under: uncultured bacterium
Lineage: Bacteria
Description: partial 16S ribosomal RNA
Rfam family: Bacterial small subunit ribosomal RNA
Source: RNAcentral
CCUACGGGAGGCUGCAGUAGGGAAUAUUGCUCAAUGGGGGAAACCCUGAAGCAGCAACGCCGCGUGAGGGAUGAAGGUUUUCUGAUUGUAAACUCCUUUUGUUAGAGAAGAUAAUGACGGUAUCUAACGGCUCAUCACCGGCUAACUCCGACCCAGCAGGCGCGGGAAUACGGCGGGUGCAAGCGUUACUCGGAAUCACUGGGGGUAAAGGGCGCGUAGGCGGGAGAGCAAGUCAGAUGUGAAAUCCUAGGGCUUAACCAUAGAACUGCAGUUGAAACUGUUAGUCUAGAGUGUGGGAGAGGUAGGUGGAAUGCUUGGUGUAGGGGUAAAAUGCGUAGAGAUCAAGAGGAAUACUCAUUGCGAAGGCGACCUGCUAGAGCAUAACUGACGCUGAUGCGCGAAAGCGUGGGGAGCAAACAGGAUUAGAUACCCUAGUAGUC